UACGUAGGUGGCAAGCGUUGUCCGGAAUUAUUGGGCGUAAAGCGCGCGCAGGCGGUCCUUUAAGUCUGAUGUGAAAGCCCACGGCUCAACCGUGGAGGGUCAUUGGAAACUGGGGGACUUGGGUACAGAAGAGAAGAGUGGAAUUCCACGUGUAGCGGUGAAAUGCGUAGAGAUGUGGAGGAACACCAGUGGCGAAGGCGACUCCUUGGUCUGUAACUGACGCUGAGGCGCGAAAGCGUGGGGAGCAAACAGG
RNAcentral lists this ribosomal RNA (253 nucleotides) under uncultured bacterium. RNAcentral's name for it is "partial 16S ribosomal RNA". It matches the Rfam family "Bacterial small subunit ribosomal RNA", at positions 524 to 776 of the family's 1533-position model. The record is from RNAcentral.